This 31-nucleotide transfer RNA is filed under the name Podargus ocellatus marmoratus. RNAcentral's name for it is "partial tRNA-Gln". Lineage: Eukaryota; Metazoa; Chordata; Aves; Caprimulgiformes; Podargidae. The record is from RNAcentral.
CUCCUGUGCAGGUUCGACUCCUGCUUUUCUA